CGGCGCUUUUGCAAAGAAUACACCAUGUGUCACUACUUUUGCUACUUGAAAUACAUAUCUCAUUAUUAGAUAUGACAUAGAACAGUUGCUACCAGUGUUUAUCGAUAAUGUUUUUGCAGUUCGCAGAUUGGUUGUCUCAAUUUCUAUAGAAGGAUUCAAUCCACAUAUUCCACCAAUAGGAUUCAUAAUACCAUAUUAAUCGCAACCAAUCGGAAUAGCGCUCCCAACAGCAUAUCCGAUUAGAAAUGUAGAGAAAUGUAUAUAGUUGGACCAAUCAUAGAUGAGAAGAAGUGAAUCAAACUCGACUGUACUUGAUUUGACUGGAUUUGACUCGACUGAACGAUCGUUUAUUCUAUUUCUUUUUUCAUAUUUUGUCAUCAAUAAUGAUUCAAAAGUCGCUACUUCAUCGCGUGUAGUCGAGUCGAGUUCGGACUAGUUGCAUCCUUGAGAUCACAUAAAGUAUGCAUCAGCGAUGAAUUCAAGCAUUUGCUGUACGUGUUCUGCGACAGCAAUC
This is a long non-coding RNA of Vespula vulgaris, 514 nucleotides long. RefSeq lists it as uncharacterized. The transcript has 3 exons. The record is from RefSeq and is a predicted model, not a curated record. NCBI's taxonomy places the organism in Eukaryota, Metazoa, Arthropoda, Insecta, Hymenoptera, Vespidae.